RNAcentral lists this ribosomal RNA (465 nucleotides) under uncultured bacterium. Its description in RNAcentral is "partial 16S ribosomal RNA". It matches the Rfam family "Bacterial small subunit ribosomal RNA", at positions 338 to 795 of the family's 1533-position model. The record is from RNAcentral.
CCUACGGGGGGCAGCAGUGGGGAAUAUUGCGCAAUGGGCGAAAGCCUGACGCAGCGACGCCGCGUGAGGGAUGAAGGUCUUCGGAUCGGAAACCUCUGUCAGCAGGGAAGAACGGUCACUGUGCUAAUCAGCACUGAAUUGACGGUACCUGCAAAGGAAGCACCGGCUAACUCCGGCACAGCAGCCGCGGUAAUACGGAGGGUGCGAGCGUUAAUCGGAAUUACUGGGCGUAAAGCGCUCGUAGGCGGUAUGUCAAGUCAAGGGUGAAAUCCCCACGCUCAACGUGGGAACUGCCUUUGAAACUGGCAAGCUAGAGAGUGUGAGAGGAUAGUGGAAUUCCAGGUGUAGGAGUGAAAUCCGUAGAUAUCUGGAGGAACAUCAGUGGCGAAGGCGACUAUCUGGCACAUAACUGACGCUGAGGAGCGAAAGCGUGGGUAGCAAACAGGAUUAGAUACCCGGGUAGUC